AUGACGUAUUCGAUAUGUCACAUAUACUAAAAUUGGAUAGAUGCAGAUAAGUUUAGCAUGGCCUCUACGAAAAGGAGAACAUGCAAAUCGGUGAAGCGCUCCUUAUUUUU
Molecule: small nuclear RNA, 110 nt
Organism: Danio rerio (zebrafish)
Lineage: Eukaryota; Metazoa; Chordata; Actinopteri; Cypriniformes; Danionidae
Source: Ensembl